CUCAAUCUCCCCUUUGUUUCUCCUCAAUGCAAGAUGAUUGAAGAUCUGCGAGAACGCUAUUUUGGACCCACAUUUGAACUCAAGUCACAUGACAAGUACCCAGAGAUAUGGGCU
Camelina sativa (false flax) is the source of this 114-nucleotide non-coding RNA. NCBI's taxonomy places the organism in Eukaryota, Viridiplantae, Streptophyta, Magnoliopsida, Brassicales, Brassicaceae. The record is from RefSeq and is a predicted model, not a curated record.